AUCCGCUAAACCAGCCUGGAGAGAUCUGCUAAAAUCACAUCAUUAGAAACGUCACCUUCUGAGGCUUGAAGGAUGUUCCUGAGUUUGUGCCCAUGGAUUAUAAGAGAUGGAGCUGCUGAGGUUUAGAAAAGCUACAUAACUUGGGCCCAGUCACACACCAAUUAGAGGCAUGGCUAAGUUCUGGAGGGUAGAAGUGUGAAAUCAAGGUAUCAGCAGGGACAUUCUCUUUCUGAAGACUCCAGCAGCCCAAAUGGACUAAGACAACAACCCAGGAAGGGGCACCUCAUCAAGAACUGAAUCUGCACCUUGAUCUUGAACUUCCCAG
Molecule: long non-coding RNA, 325 nt
Organism: Lemur catta (Ring-tailed lemur)
Lineage: Eukaryota; Metazoa; Chordata; Mammalia; Primates; Lemuridae
Exons: 4
Source: RefSeq, a predicted model, not a curated record